This is a long non-coding RNA of Rhagoletis zephyria (snowberry fruit fly), 94 nucleotides long. RefSeq lists it as uncharacterized. Lineage: Eukaryota; Metazoa; Arthropoda; Insecta; Diptera; Tephritidae. The record is from RefSeq and is a predicted model, not a curated record.
GAAAACUAAUGUAUGGAAUCGAAUGCAGUUUCCAUCGAUGUAUUGCUUGAGGUCUAACUUAAAAUAUAGGAAAAACAGAUUCAGAGCAGCAACA